AUUGAACGCUGGCGGCAGGCUUAACACAUGCAAGUCGAGCGGUAACAGGAGAAGCUUGCUUCUCGCUGACGAGCGGCGGACGGGUGAGUAAUACUUAGGAAUCUACCUAGUAGUGGGGGAUAGCUCGGGGAAACUCGAAUUAAUACCGCAUACGACCUACGGGAGAAAGGGGGCAACUUGUUGCUCUCGCUAUUAGAUGAGCCUAAGUCGGAUUAGCUAGAUGGUGGGGUAAAGGCCUACCAUGGCGACGAUCUGUAGCUGGUCUGAGAGGAUGAUCAGCCACACCGGGACUGAGACACGGCCCGGACUCCUACGGGAGGCAGCAGUGGGGAAUAUUGGACAAUGGGGGCAACCCUGAUCCAGCCAUGCCGCGUGUGUGAAGAAGGCCUUUUGGUUGUAAAGCACUUUAAGCAGUGAAGAGGACUCUAGGGUUAAUACCCCUAGACGAUGACAUUAGCUGCAGAAUAAGCACCGGCUAACUCUGUGCCAGCAGCCGCGGUAAUACAGAGGGUGCAAGCGUUAAUCGGAAUUACUGGGCGUAAAGCGAGCGUAGGUGGCUUGAUAAGUCAGAUGUGAAAUCCCCGGGCUUAACCUGGGAACUGCAUCUGAUACUGUUGAGCUAGAGUAGGUGAGAGGGAAGUAGAAUUCCAGGUGUAGCGGUGAAAUGCGUAGAGAUCUGGAGGAAUACC
This 689-nucleotide ribosomal RNA is filed under the name uncultured bacterium. RNAcentral's name for it is "bacterial SSU rRNA". It matches the Rfam family "Bacterial small subunit ribosomal RNA", at positions 28 to 710 of the family's 1533-position model. The record is from RNAcentral.